Molecule: unclassified non-coding RNA, 379 nt
Filed under: uncultured Bacteriovoracaceae bacterium
Lineage: Bacteria; Pseudomonadati; Bdellovibrionota; Bacteriovoracia; Bacteriovoracales; Bacteriovoracaceae
Description: contains 16S-23S intergenic spacer region
Source: RNAcentral
UCCUGGUUAACCCAGGCAGUCUCGUCAGAGUGCCCAACUUAAUGCUGGCAACAGACGAUAGGGGUUGCGCUCGUUGCGAGACUUAACCCAACAUUUCACAACACGAGCUGACGACAGCCAUGCAGCACCUCUCACUACAUUCCCUUGCGGGCACCCCGUCCAUUACAACGGGUUCGUAGGAGUUCAAGCCUAGGUAAGGUUCUGCGCGUUGCUUCGAAUUAAACCACAUAAUCCACCGCUUGUGCAGGCCCCCGUCAAUUUCUUUGAGUUUCAGCCUUGCGGCCGUACUCCCCAGGCGGGGCACUUAAUGCGUUAGCGCCGGCACCCAGGGGGUCGCUCCCCCAGGCACCUAGUGCCCAUCGUUUACGGCGUGGACUAC